This 80-nucleotide non-coding RNA is filed under the name Halalkalibacter akibai. RNAcentral's name for it is "Bacillus akibai c-di-GMP sequence". It matches the Rfam family "c-di-GMP-I riboswitch aptamer". From Rfam's summary of the family: GEMM was predicted in a large-scale screen for bacterial structured RNA regulatory elements. Genes associated with GEMM are involved in a diverse array of functions, including chemotaxis regulation, signal transduction, secretion and chitin. The record is from RNAcentral. Lineage: Bacteria; Bacillati; Bacillota; Bacilli; Caryophanales; Bacillaceae. RNAcentral also lists the same sequence under 1 other name.
UACAUAAUUUGGCAAACUGUGUGAAAGCAUAGGACGCAAAGCCACGGGUCUUCGCAUAGCAUGAUAGCCGGGUUGCAAAG